Molecule: ribosomal RNA, 460 nt
Filed under: uncultured bacterium
Lineage: Bacteria
Description: partial 16S ribosomal RNA
Rfam family: Bacterial small subunit ribosomal RNA
Source: RNAcentral
CCUACGGGAGGCAGCAGUGAGGAAUAUUGGUCAAUGGGCGCGAGUCUGAACCAGCCAAGUAGCGUGAAGGAUGACUGCCCUAUGGGUUGUAAACUUCUUUUAUAUGGGAAUAAAGUGUUCUAUGUAUGGUAUUUUGUAUGUACCUUAUGAAUAAGGAUCGGCUAACUCCGUGCCAGCAGCCGCGGUAAUACGGAGGAUCCGAGCGUUAUCCGGAUUUAUUGGGUUUAAAGGGAGCGUAGGUGGGUUGUUAAGUCAGUUGUGAAAGUUUGCGGCUCAACCGUAAAAUUGCAGUUGAUACUGGCAGUCUUGAGUACAGUAGAGGUAGGCGGAAUUCGUGGUGUAGCGGUGAAAUGCUUAGAUAUCACGAAGAACGCCGAUUGCGAAGGCAGUUUGCUGGACUGCAACUGACGCUGAGGCUCGAAAGUGUGGGUAUCAAACAGGAUUAGAUACCCCAGUAGUC